RNAcentral lists this ribosomal RNA (360 nucleotides) under Salmonella enterica. RNAcentral's name for it is "partial 23S ribosomal RNA". It matches the Rfam family "Bacterial large subunit ribosomal RNA", at positions 454 to 816 of the family's 2925-position model. The record is from RNAcentral. Lineage: Bacteria; Pseudomonadati; Pseudomonadota; Gammaproteobacteria; Enterobacterales; Enterobacteriaceae. RNAcentral also lists the same sequence under 4 other names.
CAUCCUCCAAGGCUAAAUACUCCUGACUGACCGAUAGUGAACCAGUACCGUGAGGGAAAGGCGAAAAGAACCCCGGCGAGGGGAGUGAAAAAGAACCUGAAACCGUGUACGUACAAGCAGUGGGAGCACCCUUCGGGGUGUGACUGCGUACCUUUUGUAUAAUGGGUCAGCGACUUAUAUUCUGUAGCAAGGUUAACCGUAUAGGGGAGCCGUAGGGAAACCGAGUCUUAACCGGGCGUUAAGUUGCAGGGUAUAGACCCGAAACCCGGUGAUCUAGCCAUGGGCAGGUUGAAGGUUGGGUAACACUAACUGGAGGACCGAACCGACUAAUGUUGAAAAAUUAGCGGAUGACCUGUGGCU